RNAcentral lists this long non-coding RNA (388 nucleotides) under Malus domestica (apple). RNAcentral's name for it is "long non-coding RNA (MDOM_LNC016018)". The record is from RNAcentral. Lineage: Eukaryota; Viridiplantae; Streptophyta; Magnoliopsida; Rosales; Rosaceae.
UAAGUAAAUUGAAUUCACAACUUAUGAAUCACAACUGGAUGUAAUCAAAUCAUAUUACAAGUAUGAACAUAGUUUCGAAUCACCCCCUAACUAAGAGGGGUUUAGUUCCUCACACUCACAAAGCAAAGAUACAUAAAAUUAGACAUUAAAAUCAAAGGAAAGAAAACACCUAAAAUGCUUCAACUUGGUAGCAAGUGCAUCCAAGAUUCCUCCUUUCCCUAUGCUUGCGGCAGAUUGGGUUAUGGACAGAUUUUGGGUAGUUUUAUGAUGUAGAAUGGAUGGGGAAUGGUAUGGAAGGGUUUAGGGUGAGUGUGGUGUUGGAAAUGUGCCCUAAAGCCAAUCAUGUGAUGAUACUUUACGGACAUUUCACAUGUUAAACUAAUCUAGU